AACGAACGCUGGCGGCGUGGAUAAGACAUGCAAGUCGAACGGGAUAACAUCUGUAGCAAUACAGGUGUUAUUUAGUGGCGAACGGGUGCGUAACACGUGGGCAAUCUGCCGAGAAGUGGGGGAUAGCUCGCCGAAAGGCGAAUUAAUACCGCAUAUGAUCAGUGAAGACAUCUUCACGACAUCAAAGCCGGGGCAACCUGGCGCUUCUUGAUGAGCCCGCGGCCUAUCAGCUAGUUGGUGAGGUAACGGCUCACCAAGGCUAUGACGGGUAGCUGGUCUGAGAGGACGACCAGUCACACUGGAACUGAGACACGGUCCAGACACCUACGGGUGGCAGCAGUCGAGAAUUUUUCUCAAUGGGGCAACCCUGAAGGAGCGACGCCGCGUGGAGGAUGAAGG
This 399-nucleotide ribosomal RNA is filed under the name uncultured bacterium. RNAcentral describes it as "bacterial SSU rRNA". It matches the Rfam family "Bacterial small subunit ribosomal RNA", at positions 29 to 414 of the family's 1533-position model. The record is from RNAcentral.